RNAcentral lists this ribosomal RNA (429 nucleotides) under uncultured bacterium. RNAcentral describes it as "bacterial SSU rRNA". It matches the Rfam family "Bacterial small subunit ribosomal RNA", at positions 355 to 775 of the family's 1533-position model. The record is from RNAcentral.
UGGGGAAUAUUGCGCAAUGGGCGAAAGCCUGACGCAGCAACGCCGCGUGAGUGAUGAAGGUCUUCGGAUCGUAAAGCUCUGUCGGCAGGAACGAUGGGUUUGUUGGCUAAUAACCAACGAAUUUGACGGUACCUGCAAAGGAAGCACCGGCUAACUCUGUGCCAGCAGCCGCGGUAAUACAGAGGGUGCAAGCGUUGUUCGGAAUUAUUGGGCGUAAAGGGCGCGUAGGCGGUUUUGUAAGUCGGAUGUGAAAGCCCAGGGCUUAACCUUGGAAGUGCAUUCGAAACUGCAAGACUUGAGUAUCGAAGAGGGUGGUGGAAUUCCCAGUGUAGAAGUGAAAUUCGUAGAUAUUGGGAGGAACACCGGUGGCGAAGGCGACCACCUGGUCGAUAACUGACGCUGAGGCGCGAAAGCGUGGGGAUCAAACAG